CAUGAGGAGGAGCUCUGCUGUCAGGUUCUGGGCUUUUAUCACAAAUUGCCUCCCCAACCCAAGCCACUGGGGCUAAAACCACAUAGCCAGGGGCAGGCGGUGAGCCAGGACUGCCUGUACUUAUCUCAGACCUUCUCCUGCCCAAGGAGAUGGACAUCCUAAAGCCAGUUGGUGUUUAGCCUCUGGUAUCCUGGUGUGCCUCACAGAGGGGCUUUCACUCAUUACUGCUUAUGCAGUGUCACAAGAUGUUCCAACAGAAGUUUUUCUGAUUGCAAGCCAUUAUAAUAAUUUUUGUAUAUGAUUAUGUUUCCUGGCAGGGGAUCCAGUCUGCCAGGCACACGCCUGCUCUGGAGAAAACAAAAAAAAACCAGUUAUUUUGAAAUUCCACCUUCUUCACCCUGGGCUUCUUUCUGAAGCUGCUGCAGAUGUGGCAGGGUGUGCAUUAACAUGCUGCUGGCCUGCUGCCUUCCUGGGAGUCUUGGAGGAGGAAAUGCAUCAAUCUGCUGUGACCUGGAUCCUGUGCUCUGGGGUUCAGAAAUCCCAGCAGACCCUUGGGGUCAAUAUAUCCAAAGGAAAGUGCGAAGUCACGAAUCUCAUGUGUUGGCUGGAUAAAUCCAUUCCAACAGGAACAUGUUGCAGCACUGAAAGCCAACAGGAGAUGCUCUUUCACGGAGCAAAUUCCCAUCCCAGUGUGUUUCCAGAGAAAACAUUCCCAGCAGCAUCACUGGUGAGCACUGAGGAGAGGGAGAUAGUGGGCAAAUCCUGUAUUUGGUACUCUGCACCAGCACCCUCCUUUCCAAAUGGAGCAAUCUCCCAGGGAAAGCACCCAAGUAAUGGAAAGGCCUCAGAUAUUCCUUCUUUGACUUAUUUUUUAGUCAUUCCCAUUUUCUCAAUAACUUUCUCAAAACCUGCAUAGCAAUUGUUGGGUCCCAUCAGAAUCCAGCAGGUGCUCCGAGGUCCUCUCCGACUUGGCAUUGAACAAGAGUCAUCCUAAGCUGGAACAAAUAAGGAGAAAGAUCCCAAAACUUUGGAUGUGAGGGGGUGCAUCCCCUGCACCCUGAAGUUGUGCUGGAGACACUGUUGCAGUGUCCCCAUGGUCCCCUACAAGAGCCAGAGAGUUUCAGAUCUCAGGACAGGCCUCCUGGCAAGAUCCACAUCCCCAACACUUCUUGGACCCAAACCCACAUGUUAUGAAUGACUAACUCUAAUUCCUAAGAGGAGUAUAUCAUCCAGAUUAUUUUACUUUUUGGCCUUCACUGAGUGUCUGUGACAUAAUAAAGAAGAAUAAUUGACAACCAAAGAGACCUGCCAUCCUGACACUUUACCGACAGCCUAUUUUGAGACACCAGAACUGCAACUCAGUGGUUCUAGAAGUUGUAAAAACUGCUGUAAAAACCAGUCUCUGUCCAAGCAGUUGUAAAAACUUGUCUCCAAUAAUGAGGGGGCACGACUGCUGCUGGGUUCCUUGGCAUGUGGGUGUCCCUGGGACGAGGUGAUUGUGCCCCAUCUCCACAGCAUCUAACCCCAUGGGAUGCAUGGGAACCCAGUGGCUGUUGGGGAGGACAAAGCAGCACCAGGGUGGGCUUUUUGUCCACCCCAGCCAUGCUGUAAAGAGAGCAUUUAAUCCCCUUGCUAGUGACAGAGAGGGGAGUUAGCCAAGAGCAAAGCUGGGCACAGUGAGGGCUUGCUCCUCCGUGAGAUGUCAAAAAUGCCUCUGGAGAGGGGCAGAGCAAAAAGCACAAAAUCUCCCUUAUCCACAGCUUUCCAACACCAGGACAUCCCAGCAUCUUCCCCACAGUGCUGGCACCUUCAAACCUGCAGAAAUCUCCCACUCUCAGUGUUAACAGGAGCAGUGUGCAUGCUGUGCAUGCAUGCAUAUAUAUUCUGGAGCACCCUUUUGGGGUGCAAGGCCAUGCAAUUAGUAGCACAGCCCUGCCAGGGGCUCAUUAAGGGCCAGGGAAGGCAGCGUGAGGCUGCAGCCAGGAAUUAGCACCGAGGUGCCACUCACUUUGUUUCAAAGAGCUCUUUCGACUCGGGCCAUAAAAUUAAUGUCUGAGCAGAUAGCUGGGAAAAUAAGAGGCUCUAUAAAGCAACUUGGUGCUUGGCAGGGGAAUUGAGAUGAGUUGCAUUUGGGAGACGCUGGGGUCUGAUUGUAUUUCUCUCCCCUCUGGAGAUGCUGAGUGCCCUGGCACAGCAGGUCCCACAUUGUCAUCCCUCCACCUCCCACCCCCAGCUCUCCCUGACCCUCAGCUCCCCACUACUGCUCUCCUUCUGCUUCUUAUUAAUCCAUCUGGCUUUUUUUGUCUCGGUUCCUCCAUCCCUUGCACAUUUGUCCAGCCCUCCAGACACUCAGUCCUUGCUUUAUUCUCUGUCUCUUGGGCCCAGCCUCUACCUUUUGCUCCUGGUUAGAGCCUUACCUAUUUAUAUGCUUAACCUUUGCCUCUCUUUCCUCUGUCUCUUUAAUCCACACAUCGAUCUCGUUUAUGGCCUCCAUCACUCAUUACCUGUGAGCUAAUGCUGUCCCAUCUCUGUGCCCUCUCUCCUAAGCCAUCCUCAGCUCUGGCUCCUCCACACCCCAAGUUGUGGUGGCAGAAGACAUUUUGGCACAUGAGCAUGAGGUGCAGGAACUCAGCAUCCCCCCACCAAGGAUGCUGUCCCUUCCCUGACACAUUUUUUGCCCCAUUUUGAGGGCUAGGCUUUGCCUUGUGCAUGGGCAUGAAGAAACCUGCAGUGGACAAACAUGUGUGGGGUACCCAACCUCCUGCAUCCCUUCACCUGUGGAUGCUGGAGAUCUGAGCACCCUGCAGAGGACAGUAGCUCUGGGGACAAAGCUCAUUUCGGUGAUGCUCUGAGGUUGGUACCCAGGGCAGCUUUCCCAAGCUUCCUGGCAGCUCAAAUUCAAGCCUGGAGGAUCAUCAGCUAAUGAUCAUCAGCUCAAUGCAUUGCCCCGUUGCUGCACCCAGCUGGCUGCUCUGGCACCCCAGCUCCACGCCUUUCCUUGCCCUCCCACCCCGUCACUGCAUCCCAUAAAGUUGCCUCAUGGAGUCCAGCCUGUAAUUUUUCCGCCUCCUCUCCCUCCCCAGGUGGUGGGAAUUUUCCUCUUGCUGAUUCACGCCUCCGUCGCGUCACACUUUUUUUUAGCGCUGACGCUGCUGCGCUCACCCCAGGGAGAGGCUGAAACCCCAAGCUGCUGCCUCGGGGACUGGCCCUCUGCCAGCCACGUGCUGCCAACUCAGCCCAAAGCCUGCACCUGUGCUAAGCAAACCCAAACCUCUCCCACUGCCGGGGUCAA
Pseudopipra pipra is the source of this 3292-nucleotide long non-coding RNA. RefSeq lists it as uncharacterized. Lineage: Eukaryota; Metazoa; Chordata; Aves; Passeriformes; Pipridae. The transcript is spliced from 3 exons. The record is from RefSeq and is a predicted model, not a curated record.